RNAcentral lists this long non-coding RNA (1140 nucleotides) under Homo sapiens (human). RNAcentral describes it as "HSALNT0212735". Lineage: Eukaryota; Metazoa; Chordata; Mammalia; Primates; Hominidae. The record is from RNAcentral.
UCAACGGUCUUCAAAAUAAGGUGAAAAAAGAUUGUAAAGAUUCAAUGACAAAGUUUUAUUAAAUACCAAUACUGGCUAGGCACAAUUAGACACAUUAUUAUCUCAUUUGCUGUAUCUGGUAUCAAACAACAAAGCCUGAAAGAUUACCAUAGAUUUUGAUGGCCUCAUUAACAUAAUUAAUCCGUAGUGACAUUCCCUGGAUAAUAAAUACAGUUUUAUGUCCGUGUGUCUUCUGUGUCUUCCAAGUUGCUACAGGGCUCUAUUUGAUCUGAGAAACUGACUGCUGUUUACAUCCAGGUAUGCAAUGUGACAUUAGAAUUGAAGCAGAAAGGAAGCAAAACAAAACAGGGUUCAUGAGGAAAAUAAUCUUCUAAGAACUAACAUGGCCUGGAGGUAAAAUGCAAAUAUAUCCGGUAAUAAGAAGCCCAGAUUACUGCAGAUAAAAGAUUAAAAUAGGAUUCAAUUAUUCAUCUCCAUUUGCAAAUCUACAAACUAGGAGGAAGGACUAACCCUUUUCCUGGGAUUAGUAACUAAAUUUAAUGAUUACAGCAAAUAUAAAGUUCUUUUGUAAAUUAUUGUUGGUUAAGGAUUGACUUGCAUUGACAACACACUUUAGCUCUCGCCCCUUUCAUUCUCCCCCUGCAAGAACAAAGGCAAAAUGAACAGUGAGGAAAACCUGGAAACAGGACCGAGUGUUUGCUAUCACUUGAUUCCUUUGAAGGAGCAAUGCUUUCUCAUAAUAUAGGUUUUAUAGUAUCAUCAAGUACAUCAGUUAAGCAAAUCAAGUGCUUUGUGUUCUGUAUAUAAAUUACAUAAUACAAGAGUCUGUGGCAGUUAAGAAUCUGGUUCUGCACUUUGGGAGGCCGAGAUGGAGCAAGUUUUUCAAAGUUGUUGCCGGUAUCUCAUGAAAGCCCAGGCUGCUACCAUGGUGAGGGCAAACACUGGCACCAGCACCAUAAAUAUGGGAAUACCACUUGGGUCCCCUUCACCUCGAUGUCCUAUAGGUCCAUUCUGCACCUGUAACUGGAAGGGAAAGAAAAAUGUUAACUCUAGUGACUAAUGUGUGUUUGCAACUGAAACGCCCAGGUUGAUACAUCACCUGGGUUUGUAGACUCUAGACCACCCAAAACUGUAACCCCC